UCCACCACACUCCUAGUACCCUAAAGGUAUGAAAACAAGUGUCAUCUAAUCGAAACGAAUGACGCUAAGUUCAAUCAUUAAGCCUUUCAAGCAUAGGUGGAGAGAACUCACCUCUAGUGCAAAAAUCUCUUCUAAAGCUCCAAAAGAGAGCUAGAGUCCAUCCAAUCCAACCUAAUGGAAGCCUCUAAUCCACUCAAUCUAGCUUCAAAAGCCCUAGAUUCAAAAUACCCAAAAUAAACCCUAAUAUCACAAUCUAGGGUUUCAUCUCAUGAAAUCCAAUAAAUUAAGGAUCAAAUGGAAGAACUAAGCUUCUAACCUCUUUGGAAGCCUCCAACAAGUAUCCAAUCUAAGUGAUGUUGAAGAUCUCCGCAGCCACUAGCUCCUCUCCAAGCUCUAAGCCAUCAACAAUGGUGGAGAAGCCACCAAGAUGCAAAUAGAGGAGAGAAAACCCAAUAAAAACCAAGCAAAAGGAGUAAAAAUGCAAAGGAAGGGAGAGAGAGCUCCUCCUACCUCAACUCCUGCUGGUCUCUGCACAGGGGAGGCCCUAAGGGGCGUGGGGUGCACUUAUAGAAGUGCUAUAAUAGCAAAAACACCCCUGCAGACCAAACUGCACGAAAACUGCCUUCUUGUACCGGUACACGGGCUCUUGUACCGGUAUAAGGCCCACGAAAAUGCAAACCCGAGGCUCGGGUUGCGGGGUCUGCGUCUCUGUACCGGUACAAGCCCGAUGGCAGUACCGGUACAACCAUCAACCCUUGUACCGGUACAAGACCAACCUUGUUCCGGUACAAGCUCUGCUGCAGGCUACCCGAGAGCUGACCAAGGUCCAAUCAUUUUGGGCUUUGGUGCAAGGCUUUAAACCACAAUUCUCGGUACUCGAACCAUAGGUCGGAAC
RNAcentral lists this long non-coding RNA (895 nucleotides) under Ananas comosus (pineapple). Its description in RNAcentral is "long non-coding RNA (ACOM_LNC040405)". The record is from RNAcentral. Lineage: Eukaryota; Viridiplantae; Streptophyta; Magnoliopsida; Poales; Bromeliaceae.